UACGUAGGGUGCAAGCGUUGUCCGAAAUUAUUGGGCGUAAAGAGCUCGUAGGCGGUCUGUCGCGUCGGCUGUGAAAUCCCGAGGCUCAACCUCGGGUCUGCAGUCGAUACGGGCAAACUAGAGUAUUGCAGGGGAGACUGGAAUUCCUGGUGUAGCGGUGAAAUGCGCAGAUAUCAGGAGGAACACCGGUGGCGAAGGCGGGUCUCUGGGCAAUAACUGACGCUGAGGAGCGAAAGCGUGGGGAGCGAACAGG
Molecule: ribosomal RNA, 253 nt
Filed under: uncultured bacterium
Lineage: Bacteria
Description: partial 16S ribosomal RNA
Rfam family: Bacterial small subunit ribosomal RNA
Source: RNAcentral